RNAcentral lists this ribosomal RNA (403 nucleotides) under Verrucomicrobiota bacterium. Its description in RNAcentral is "Verrucomicrobia bacterium partial 16S ribosomal RNA". It matches the Rfam family "Bacterial small subunit ribosomal RNA", at positions 355 to 776 of the family's 1533-position model. The record is from RNAcentral. Lineage: Bacteria; Pseudomonadati; Verrucomicrobiota.
UGGGGAAUAUUGCACAAUGGGGGAAACCCUGAUGCAGCGACGCCGCGUGAGCGAUGAAGGCUUUCGAGUCGUAAAGCUCUGUCCUAUGGGAAGAUAAUGACGGUACCAUAGAAGAAAGCCCCGGCUAAUUACGUGCCAGCAGCCGCGGUAAUACGUAGGGGGCAAGCGUUGUCCGGAAUCACUGGGCGUAAAGGGUUCGCAGGCGGAAAUGCAAGUCAGUUGUGAAAGGCAGAGGCUCAACCUCUGUAAGCAAUUGAAACUGUAUUUCUUGAGAUGUGGAGAGGCAAGUGGAAUUCCUAGUGUAGCGGUGAAAUGCGUAGAUAUUAGGAAGAAUACCGGUGGCGAAGGCGACUUGCUGGACACAAACUGACGCUGAGGAACGAAAGCGUGGGUAGCAAACAGG